RNAcentral lists this long non-coding RNA (790 nucleotides) under Numida meleagris (helmeted guineafowl). RNAcentral's name for it is "lncRNA (ENSNMEG00000021541.1)". The record is from RNAcentral. Lineage: Eukaryota; Metazoa; Chordata; Aves; Galliformes; Numididae.
CUUGUUCUUUUUUCCCUCAUUUUUUAGAGCAGCUCAGUGGGGAGCUUCAUUAUGAGAGUGUGUAGCCCGUCUGUCUCUCGCCCUAGCAGCUAAUAAAUUACCACAGAGACCAGUGACCUGUUAGUGAAACACUCCAAGCCUAAAAAUCAAGCCAAGGCAUGUGUAAUGUCCUUCAGAAUGCAUCAGAGCAGAUCCUUCACCAGCUGGAGGGAUCCAUGUGGGAACAGCACUAGGUCCUUCCUACCUCAGGCAACGUGAAGCAACCUCAGGAUUUCCAAAUGUUUUGUCAUCAACAACAAAGAGGCUGUGCAAACCAGAAAAAGUAGAAAGAGGGGCUAGAAGACUUGCCAAAAUACAGUUCAAAAAGAAGGAAAGACAUUUAAUUGGUAUAUAAAAAAACAAUGAUUAUGCUAUAUUGGUUGUUGAAGGCAGGUUGAAUAAGAAAUCACGUUGUUCUGAGGCCUGAUCUUUUAAGCCGCUCCUAAUUAAAUGCAUCUUUCCUCCUACUGGAUGCUAAGAGUCUUCCAGGUUACUGGCUGUAUUAAGUGAAAAUGAGACACUUAUUCAAUGUAUCUGUAUGGAUGUUGCAAAGUUGAUUGAAAAAAGAAGAUAAUGUGUGAAGUCUGUGUUAAAAAAGAACAUUGCUGAUUCAUUCUAAUGUGCUUAGAAGUUCCUGAACUCCUAUGCUUCAUCAGUACCUCGUAGUAUAGGUCAAAAUCCUUAGCAGAUAAAUGCUUAAUCCAAGAUAAAUCGUAAUAAAUCCAAAUGAGAUUAGACCUGUACUGAAAUA